GAACUAACCAGUGCCCCCACAUCUCG
RNAcentral lists this unclassified non-coding RNA (26 nucleotides) under Mus musculus (house mouse). RNAcentral's name for it is "oocyte_clustered_small_RNA547". Lineage: Eukaryota; Metazoa; Chordata; Mammalia; Rodentia; Muridae. The record is from RNAcentral.